RNAcentral lists this long non-coding RNA (1900 nucleotides) under Homo sapiens (human). RNAcentral describes it as "HSALNT0404440". Lineage: Eukaryota; Metazoa; Chordata; Mammalia; Primates; Hominidae. The record is from RNAcentral.
GCUGGGGACGCUGGACUCUGGAGUGAAAAUGACCCACGCUCUCCUCUGCUCCCGUUUUCACCUUGGGCAUCAUUGUCAUCAUCAUUAUGAGCAGCAGCCGGAAAAGCAUUAAUGGAGCACCUGCUGUAUGCCAGGCCUUGCGCCUGCUGCGCUUGUAACGGCAAUUCUCAUGCAGCCUGCACAGCAGCCUGUAGCCUGUUUCUAUUGUUAGCUGAGGACACCCAGGCUUAGAAAUGGAGUCACCUGCCUGGUGUCCCCAGCUGGUGAGGGCUUGGGCCAGGUGCACCCUGUCUGUUUGACCCCAAAGCCAGGGCUCAGCACCGCUGGGCAGAUGAUUACUGCAAUGUCACACAUAAUGUGAAAAUUGGGAGGCGCUGAGGAAGCCUGAGGCACUGGUCCCUUUCUUCUGGUGACAUGCUGGGUGACUUUGGACAGAUCUAUCAACCCCUCUGAGUAUUCGAUGUCCGUCUUUGCCAGUCGGCUGAAGCUGGGAGACCGAGUGCCUGCGGGGAGCCUCCAGCCCCCAGUUCCUUUCAAUCAUCACCAGCGUGCCUCACACUUACCACCAGGUGGCAGCAGAGGACUUGCCUGGCCGCCGAGACCUUGGCCGCAGGAGACUUGCCGAACCUCAGCCUUAAAGGUCACCUUCACUCUUCAAGACAGUGGGAAGCGGCCGCAGCAAACAUCCGCAGAGGGCCUGGCUCCGGGAGCCUCUGGACUGCGUGCUGCCAAGCUGUGGGAGACCCACCCUGACCCCCGGGGAGCUAGUGUCCAGCAGGGGAGACUGAGAUGGGAAGACACAAAAGCCGUGCUGGAAGCCAGCGGUGUUUCUUUACCAUGAGCAGUUUUGGGGUUUCAUUUGCUUGUGUGUAAAAUCACUUGAAAAAGGAGGCGUCACUGUCUGGAAGGCCAGGGCUGUGCUGGGGUCCCUGGGGGCUCUGGCGGGGUUUCCUCCGCGCAGAAUGACGUCACUCCCCGGCUUCCGGCCCAGGUCAGCUCUUCCUAGGAAGCCUCUUGUGAAGAGCAGCCCCCGUCCCGCCCACAUCCGCAGAGGCCUGUGAGUGGGGCAGGGCGGUCGCCGUUUGCACACAGCAGCAUCUGGAGGGAUGAGCUCGCCUGAUUCCAUGCAGAAUCGAACUCAGCUCCGUGGUUCACACUUGUUUCCAGAGAUGCCAACAAGCUGCUCUUCCCCGAGUCCCCGCAGGUGUGCACCUUUGGGAAGGUAUCAGAUAGUGACCUCCUGGGCUGGGCUGUGCCUGUGUGCACCUGUCACGAGCAGGGCUGUGGGGGUGGAGAUGUUAACCAUCUCACCAGAGGAGGGCUGGACUGGAUCCAAGAAACUUUUUUCCCCCUGGGAUGGAAUUUGAAAGUGGAAAAAAAGUCACAUAAAAAUCAGUGUAGCUAAUUAACAAGAAUACAUGGAACAGUCUCCGUCGUUUUCCAAGUCUGCUAUGCUGCGGCACAUAAGUAGAGGUUGAAACAACAAUGGCAACAGCGGUGAGAAAGGAUACGGGGCCUGCUGAGAUCUGCAUCCUGUCCUUAAGGGCCUGAUGGUUUUGAAUUGUCCUCCAAGGCCACUGCCGUGGUUGGAGAGGCCGACGUGUCAUCAGCACAGCUAAAACAGACAACUCGGGAAAUAUGGGAACCUGGGGGAGACUGGAGCCCAAGUCGCUGCAAAUCCUUGAUGAGGAGACACAAGAAACCACUACUUCAAAGCUGGAGGCAGCUUCUGCACAGAACAGAUUCAUGUUUGCAUUUGGGGAUGACUGUCUGCUCACUCUGGGACGUCCAUGGUUCUGCACAUGUGUAGCCGGGGGACAUGUUUCUGUUCUUGGAAGACCUGGAAGAUUUAUAUUGUUUUAUUUUUUUUUAAUUCUUUUUGAGGCAGAGUCUCACUCUG